RNAcentral lists this unclassified non-coding RNA (408 nucleotides) under Hevea brasiliensis (rubber tree). The record is from RNAcentral. Lineage: Eukaryota; Viridiplantae; Streptophyta; Magnoliopsida; Malpighiales; Euphorbiaceae.
GAGAUUCAAACUCUCGCGGGGAAACCCCAUAUACUUAGCAGGCACACGCCUUAACCACUCGGCCAAAGCGACUUCCACUUUUCCUGUUCUAAGCAUCUUCACCAUUAUAAAAUGAUCUAAUCCUAUUCCCAUGCCAUCCAAUGAAGCAAGUUCGCUAGAUAAGAAAUUGGAAAAGAGUUCAGAACACUUCCCUCUCGAAUCUAGCAAUUUUUUUUACUCCUGUCUUCCUUGGCUGAUAAUAUGUGAUAAAUAUCAUGGACUUAACCCCAUCUCAUUCCACAGUUCACACUAAUGCAUAAUUUCAAAAUACGCAACCCCAUUGUGCUAAAUUAACUGUUUUAGACAUUCAGCUUAGCUAUAUAUAAGCUGCAGCAUUAGCAAAAGAAAAUCGACAUCACCACGACCGGG